UGUAGUGAUUUAUUGUUUUUGCUGCACAGAAUGGGUUUGUAACACAGGUUUUAUGUGUAAAAGUGUAUUAGAAUGCAGGACAGCUACAAGUUACUACAUUAGUUCACUAGCAUUGGUCAGUGGUCACUGAGUGAUUCCCCAGCAGGGGGAUGGGCUUUACAUACUCUGCAGGCUCCAGAAGGAUGACUCAUCCACAUGAACGAGCACGCAAGGACUGAGCUCUCAGGGUGAGUCAUGAGGAGGCGUGGCCGGCCUUCACUCAACUGCCUGAGCCAAACCAGGAAGUUAUCAGGACAUCUACUGCUGGUAAGAUUGAAAAAGCAAAGUGGGACAACCCCUUUAAUGCAACUUAUUUUUUAUAGGAAAAAU
Molecule: long non-coding RNA, 369 nt
Organism: Bufo bufo (common toad)
Lineage: Eukaryota; Metazoa; Chordata; Amphibia; Anura; Bufonidae
Exons: 3
Source: RefSeq, a predicted model, not a curated record